ACCCGUCUAGCUCAGUCGGUUAGAGCGCUGGCCUUUUAAGCCAGUGGUCGUGGGUUCGAUCCCCACGGGGGGUG
Molecule: transfer RNA, 74 nt
Filed under: Phytophthora infestans (potato late blight agent)
Lineage: Eukaryota; Oomycota; Peronosporomycetes; Peronosporales; Peronosporaceae
Description: tRNA-Lys
Rfam family: tRNA
About the family: Transfer RNA (tRNA) molecules are approximately 80 nucleotides in length. Their secondary structure includes four short double-helical elements and three loops (D, anti-codon, and T loops).
Source: RNAcentral